ACACUUACCUGGCAGGGAAGAUACCAUGAUCACGAAGGUGGUUUUCCCAGGGCAAGGCUUAUCCAUUGCACUCCUGAUGUGCUGAGCCCUGCAAUUUCCCCAAAUGUGGGAAACUUGACUGCAUAAUUUGUGGUAGUGGGGGACUGCAUUGGUGCUUUCCCCUG
Small nuclear RNA from Nycticebus coucang (slow loris), 164 nucleotides. RefSeq annotates it as U1 spliceosomal RNA. The record is from RefSeq and is a predicted model, not a curated record. Lineage: Eukaryota; Metazoa; Chordata; Mammalia; Primates; Lorisidae. The transcript has a single exon.